RNAcentral lists this small nucleolar RNA (187 nucleotides) under Castor canadensis (American beaver). RNAcentral's name for it is "Small nucleolar RNA SNORA73 family (ENSCCNG00000015990.1)". Lineage: Eukaryota; Metazoa; Chordata; Mammalia; Rodentia; Castoridae. The record is from RNAcentral.
CCAGUAUGGAUACCAGGGAGGUCAGCCUCCACAGGCUCUAUCCAAGUGUCAGAGGAGCACAGGGCACAGAGGAGCUCGUGUUGUACAGUCCGUAACACUGGAGAAGAAGCCUUAAGUCUGCACCUACAUAUUCCUACAACUUCUUAGAGUUCUAUGGAUAAUGACUAUAUAUAUGUAGCUAAUUAAA